GGGCCCGCACAAGCGGCGGAGCAUGCGGAUUAAUUCGAUGCAACGCGAAGAACCUUACCUGGGUUUGACAUACACCGGAAAGCUGCAGAGAUGUAGCCCCUUUUGUCGGUGUACAGGUGGUGCAUGGCUGUCGUCAGCUCGUGUCGUGAGAUGUUGGGUUAAGUCCCGCAACGAGCGCAACCCUCGUCCUAUGUUGCCAGCAACCACUUUGGUGGGUUGGGGACUCAUGGGAGACUGCCGGGGUCAACUCGGAGGAAGGUGGGGAUGACGUCAAGUCAUCAUGCCCCUUAUGUCCAGGGCUUCACGCAUGCUACAAUGGCCGGUACAGAGGGCUGCAAUCCUGUGAGGGUGAGCGAAUCCCUAAAAGCCGGUCUCAGUUCGGAUUGGGGUCUGCAACUCGACCCCAUGAAGUCGGAGUCGCUAGUAAUCGCAGAU
RNAcentral lists this ribosomal RNA (435 nucleotides) under uncultured bacterium. RNAcentral describes it as "bacterial SSU rRNA". It matches the Rfam family "Bacterial small subunit ribosomal RNA", at positions 917 to 1349 of the family's 1533-position model. The record is from RNAcentral.